Molecule: transfer RNA, 73 nt
Filed under: Rattus norvegicus (Norway rat)
Lineage: Eukaryota; Metazoa; Chordata; Mammalia; Rodentia; Muridae
Rfam family: tRNA
About the family: Transfer RNA (tRNA) molecules are approximately 80 nucleotides in length. Their secondary structure includes four short double-helical elements and three loops (D, anti-codon, and T loops).
Source: Rfam by way of RNAcentral
GUGGAGAGGGCUCAGUGGUUAAGAGCAUUGGUGCCUCUUUCAAAGGACCUGGGUUCAAUUCCCAGUACCCACA